UACGAAGGGUGCAAGCGUUAAUCGGGAUUACUGGGCGUAAAGCGCGCGUAGGUGGUUCAGCAAGUUGGAUGUGAAAGCCCUGGGCUCAACCUGGGAACUGCAUCCAAAACUACUGAGCUAGAGUACGGUAGAGGGUAGUGGAAUUUCCUGUGUAGCGGUGAAAUUCGUAGAUAUUCGCAGGAACACCAGUGGCGAAGGCGGCUUGCUGGACUUGUAGUGACGCUGAGACGCGAAAGCGUGGGGAGCAAACAGGAUUAGAAACCC
This 264-nucleotide ribosomal RNA is filed under the name uncultured bacterium. Its description in RNAcentral is "partial 16S ribosomal RNA". It matches the Rfam family "Bacterial small subunit ribosomal RNA", at positions 524 to 787 of the family's 1533-position model. The record is from RNAcentral.